GUGGGGAAUAUUGGGCAAUGGGCGAAAGCCUGACCCAGCAACGCCGCGUGAAGGAAGAAGGUUUUCGGAUCGUAAACUUCUAUCCUUGGUGAAGAUAAUGACGGUAGCCAAGAAGGAAGCCCCGGCUAACUACGUGCCAGCAGCCGCGGUAAUACGUAGGGGGCAAGCGUUGUCCGGAAUGAUUGGGCGUAAAGGGCGCGUAGGCGGCCUGGUAAGUCUGGAGUGAAAGUCCUGCUUUUAAGGUGGGAAUUGCUUUGGAUACUGGCGCGCUUGAGUGCAGGAGAGGUAAGUGGAAUUCCCGGUGUAGCGGUGAACUGCGUAGAGAUCGGGAGGAACACCAGUGGCGAAGGCGACUUACUGGACUGUAACUGACGCUGAGGCGCGAAAGUGUGGGGAGCAAACAGGAUUAGAAACCCGAGUAGUCC
Molecule: ribosomal RNA, 425 nt
Filed under: uncultured bacterium
Lineage: Bacteria
Description: partial 16S ribosomal RNA
Rfam family: Bacterial small subunit ribosomal RNA
Source: RNAcentral